Molecule: ribosomal RNA, 253 nt
Filed under: uncultured bacterium
Lineage: Bacteria
Description: partial 16S ribosomal RNA
Rfam family: Bacterial small subunit ribosomal RNA
Source: RNAcentral
UACGUAGGGGGCAAGCGUUGUCCGGAAUUAUUGGGCGUAAAGAGCGUGUAGGCGGCCCGAUUAGUCCGCUGUGAAAGUCCAGGGCUCAACCCUGGAAUGCCGGUGGAUACUGUCGGGCUAGAGUCCGGAAGGGGCGAGUGGAAUUCCUGGUGUAGCGGUGGAAUGCGCAGAUAUCAGGAGGAACACCGAUGGCGAAGGCAGCUCGCUGGGACGGUACUGACGCUGAGGCGCGAAAGCGUGGGGAGCGAACAGG